RNAcentral lists this ribosomal RNA (252 nucleotides) under uncultured bacterium. Its description in RNAcentral is "partial 16S ribosomal RNA". It matches the Rfam family "Bacterial small subunit ribosomal RNA", at positions 524 to 776 of the family's 1533-position model. The record is from RNAcentral.
UACGGAGGAUGCGAGCGUUAUCCGGAUUUAUUGGGUUUAAAGGGUGCGCAGGCGGAUUUUUAAGUCAGCGGUCAAAUCGUGGGGCUCAACCCCAUCCAGCCGUUGAAACUGGGGAUCUAGAGUGUGCGAGAGGUAUGCGGAAUGCGUGGUGUAGCGGUGAAAUGCAUAGAUAUCACGCAGAACCCCGGUUGCGAAGGCAGCAUACCGGUGCACAACUGACGCUCAGGCACGAAAGCGUGGGUAUCGAACAGG